UACCAGCUCUCCGAGUGGUGUGGAUGUUUAUUGGGCCUAAAGCAUCCGUAGCUGGCUGGGCAAGUCCCCUGUUAAAUCCACCGAUUUAAUCGUUGGAGUGCGGGGGAUACUGUUCGGCUAGGGGACGGGAGAGGCAGACGGUAUUUUCGGGGUAGGGGUGAAAUCCUAUAAUCCCGGGAAGACCACCAGUGGCGAAGGCUGUCUGCUAGAACGCGCCCGACGGUGAGGGAUGAAAGCUGGGGGAGCGAACCGGAUUAGAUACCCGGGUAGUCCCAGCUGUAAACGAUGCAGGCUAGGUGUUUGGGCGGCCACGUGCCGCUCUAGUGCCGCAGGGAAGCCGUUAAGCCUGCCGCCUGGGGAGUACGGCCGCAAGGCUGAAACUUAAAGGAAUUGGCGGGGGAGCACCACAAGGGGUGAAGCUUGCGGUUU
RNAcentral lists this ribosomal RNA (429 nucleotides) under uncultured archaeon. Its description in RNAcentral is "bacterial SSU rRNA". It matches the Rfam family "Archaeal small subunit ribosomal RNA", at positions 474 to 903 of the family's 1478-position model. The record is from RNAcentral.